GGGCGUAAAGAGCUCGUAGGCGGUCUGUCGCGUCGGAUGUGAAAACUCGGGGCUCAACCCCGAGCCUGCAUUCGAUACGGGCAGACUUGAGCUCGGCAGGGGAGACUGGAAUUCCUGGUGUAGCGGUGAAAUGCGCAGAUAUCAGGAGGAACACCGGUGGCGAAGGCACUUCUCUGGGCUGUAACUGACGCUGAGGAGCGAAAGCGUGGGGAGCGAACAGGAUUAGAUACCCUGGUAGUCCACGCCGUAAACGUUGGGCGCUAGAUGUGGGUCACAUUCCACGUGAUCCGUGUCGCAGCUAACGCAUUAAGCGCCCCGCCUGGGGAGUACGGCCGCAAGGCUAAAACUCAAAGGAAUUGACGGGGGCCCGCACAAGCGGCGGAGCAUGCGGAUUAAUUCGAUGCAACGCGAAGAACCUUACCAAGGCUUGACAUAUAGUGGAAAACUGCAGAAAUGUAGUCCCCCGCAAGGGUCGCUAUACAGGUGGUGCAUGGUUGUCGUCAGCUCGUGUCGUGAGAUGUUGGGUUAAGUCCCGCAACGAGCGCAACCCUCGUCCUAUGUUGCCAGCACGUAAAGGUGGGAACUCAUGGGAGACUGCCGGGGUCAACUCGGAGGAAGGUAAU
RNAcentral lists this ribosomal RNA (623 nucleotides) under uncultured Actinomycetes bacterium. RNAcentral describes it as "bacterial SSU rRNA". It matches the Rfam family "Bacterial small subunit ribosomal RNA", at positions 556 to 1177 of the family's 1533-position model. Lineage: Bacteria; Bacillati; Actinomycetota; Actinomycetes. The record is from RNAcentral.